UAAAGCGGUACUCGCAACUGGUCUCCCGCGCGGGAGCGGGGGUGGGGCAGGCCCGGGGGUGGAAGGCCACUUGGGGACCUGAGCCCCCUCAGGGCGGAACACUAGGGUGUUGGGAACUGAAAUCCGAUCGUUGGGAAUAAGGGGCAAAGCAUCCCACCUGCCACUAGACCCGCGCGCUGGAGGGGCCGCUCAACUUUGCCAGCCUGGUCCUGCGAAGAUCUGGAGCAAGUUCUCUGACCCCGGGAAGGAUUCUUCUGCCCUCAUUUCUUCUCCGCCUUCGCCGGCAGGCUUAGUUUCAGCAUUGAGGACAGCACCCUUUUCGUUUAAUCCUUUAAGUACCGCGGACAGCGCCUCGGGGGCGCUUAGAUGCCAGGGUUCAGCACAGUGGACAGACAUCCCACUUCCCGUGCAGCACCGCAGGGAUCCAGCCUCCAGCACAGCGCACGGUACCUAAAGUUUGAGAGACCUAAGAAGCGGAGUGACACACCGUGCUCGCUGCCUUUAUUCUGUCAUCCGGUGCCCCUUUCAGAUAUUGUGGUGGAUAGCAUACUGUUGUCACCAGGAUCAAUUCAGUGUCCCUCCCUGCCAGGUGUUGUACUUUCGAAGCACAAAUUCAGCACCACGGACAUCUCCAACAAAAGCACUUUCAGCACCACAGACAGGUCCCCUUGGAGGAUCAGCCAGCAGUGCAGAGGCUGACACCCAGGACUCUUUAAACAGCUCCUAUCCUUUCCGGAACACUGUGGUGGCAGAACCGGGGCUCGGUCCUGAACUCUCUCUUAAAACGCAGAUUGGAAACAAAUGUGAAGAGAGGCAGACAGAGAGAAAGACAGAGGGACAGAGACUGAAUGAGACUGGAGGGAAGAGCACAGCAAAGAGACAAAAAGUCUCAGGUCUUUCAAGGACAGCCUCUAAGAACUAUACAUGUCCCAUCACUGUCAGCUAUGAAUAAGGGAACUGAGACCCAGAAAGGUUGAACCUGUUGCCUAAAACAAGGCAAUGCUAAGAGAGUGCUGGUCCGAGCUGUGGAGUCCAGACUCUCGGGCAUAUAUCUGAGCAGCUUUAACGCAACCCUUCUCAUUACAGCUUAGGAAGGCAAGAACCAGGGAGGGCUUUCCUGAACAAGGUCCAAGUCCUCUGUCUUCCCGUCUCAGGGAUCUCCCAUAAUAUUCUCCAGCUCCACUUGUAUCCCUUACAGCACCUACUCAAACAACACUGUACAGUUUAUACACCGUAUUCAUAUCUGUGACUCCUGAGGCAGGAGAACCUGGCAUGUCCCCAUUUCUUCUCCUUUAAUUAAAAUGUCUAAAUUACUGCC
Molecule: non-coding RNA, 1318 nt
Organism: Rattus norvegicus (Norway rat)
Lineage: Eukaryota; Metazoa; Chordata; Mammalia; Rodentia; Muridae
Source: RefSeq, a predicted model, not a curated record